UUAAGUUCAGCGGGUAUCCCUACCUGAUCCGAGGUCAACCUGAAAAAAAUUGGGGGUUGCUGGCGAGCACACACCCGGACCUCCAGAGCGAGAAGAAUUACUACGCUCGGAGCCGGACGGCACCGCCACUGAUUCAGGGCCUGCGCAGCCGCAGGUCCCCAACACAAGCCGGGGGCUUGAUGGUUGAAAUGACGCUCGAA
RNAcentral lists this unclassified non-coding RNA (200 nucleotides) under Geomyces sp. Its description in RNAcentral is "partial internal transcribed spacer 2". The record is from RNAcentral. Lineage: Eukaryota; Fungi; Ascomycota; Leotiomycetes; Thelebolales; Pseudeurotiaceae.